Molecule: ribosomal RNA, 590 nt
Filed under: uncultured bacterium
Lineage: Bacteria
Description: bacterial SSU rRNA
Rfam family: Bacterial small subunit ribosomal RNA
Source: RNAcentral
CCUACGGGAGGCAGCAGUGGGGAAUAUUGGACAAUGGGCGAAAGCCUGAUCCAGCAAUGCCGCGUGAGUGAAGAAGGCCUUCGGGUUGUAAAGCUCUUUUUACCCGGGAAGAUAAUGACUGUACCGGGAGAAUAAGCCCCGGCUAACUCCGUGCCAGCAGCCGCGGUAAUACGGAGGGGGCUAGCGUUGUUCGGAAUUACUGGGCGUAAAGCGUACGUAGGCGGCUUUGUAAGUCAGAGGUGAAAGCCCACGACUCAAUCGUGGAACUGCCUUUGAGACUGCUUCGCUUGAAGAUGGGAGAGGUUAGUGGAAUUCCGAGUGUAGAGGUGAAAUUCGUAGAUAUUCGGAAGAACACCAGUGGCGAAGGCGGCUAACUGGACCAUUCUUGACGCUGAGGUACGAAAGCGUGGGGAGCAAACAGGAUUAGAUACCCUGGUAGUCCACGCCGUAAACGAUGAUAACUAGCUGUCGGGGCUCUUGGAGCUUCGGUGGCGCAGCUAACGCAUUAAGUUAUCCGCCUGGGGAUACGGCCGCAAGGUUAAAACUCAAAGGAAUUGACGGCUGAGACNGCGACGCGACGACGAGGAGAG